Long non-coding RNA from Oncorhynchus masou masou (cherry salmon), 1926 nucleotides. RefSeq lists it as uncharacterized. The record is from RefSeq and is a predicted model, not a curated record. NCBI's taxonomy places the organism in Eukaryota, Metazoa, Chordata, Actinopteri, Salmoniformes, Salmonidae. The transcript is spliced from 3 exons.
GUUGAUUACAUACAUUGGAAACUAAAUGCUAAGAGUAUCGGUUCACAUCGGACACAUAACAACGUUGGAUCACAACAAACUACUCAAAAUCCGGAAGCAAUUCCAUAACUGCUUUUGACAGCUCCUCGUUCACUCUCAUUUAACUACGAACAAUAGCUUUUAUUAUGGAUUUUACUAUAACUUUGAUACGUUUAUGUGUAUUAUCUUCAUAUGAUAAUCAUGGAAAACUGUAAGGAUCGUAACGCAAAUGUUUACACUAGUUGUUUUAGCGCUAAAUAUUUUCCUUGAGUUCAAACGUCAUGUCAGAUCACAGCAGCAGUUAGAACGUAUUAUCAAGCGGUGGGUAUCUACUACCAAGCCAGUACAGUAGAUCUACAAAUAAUUGUCAUGUUAAAACAUCUUGUUGGAUAAAUGUACUAGUUUGCAAGCUAACGUUAGCUAGUUAACUAGAAACCUAAAAUUGUUUUCCAAACAGGUGUUAUUGAGAAAGCUUGGCUGCUCCACUGACACAGUUCGAGCAUAUAUAUGACAAAUGCAAGUAGGCCCACGCAUUUUGAGUAUUUAUUAAAAUUGUACUGAAUGAUUAGUCUCGAAAACCGGAGCGUUUGAAAAUUGUGGGAGGCAACGCGGAUGUCUAGACACUACUGAAUGAUCUUUCCAUUUUGAUGUGUGGUUAAAUGUUUCCUUUCUAGAUUGCCAAAGAAGUUUAAUGGCGUCAGAGCCUUGGCGUGAAGUCAGCUGAGAGAGCUGCUGCCAUAAGGGAGAUUUAUAAACCCCUCCAUGACCAUGUCUACCAUCUACAGGUAGGAAGGAAGCCUACAAUACUUUAGUCUCCAUACACACUAAGAUUGUAAAGUGUAAUAUUGGACUUACACUAUCUCUUUAAGAAUCCUAUCUGGCUCCAGAGUUUAAGCAGAUGAUGGAUUAUUGUCGAAGUGAUGAGACCAUUAAAGAGGGACCGUUGAGUUUAAUGCAGACAGAAGCAGAUACGUUUUCCAUAAAUAUUUCCUAUUUGAAAUAGGUGGUGCAUGUCAUUAUUUUAAAUCUUUUGAAGCCCCAAGGAUCUUGCGCUUGCCUAUGUUUAAAAAAAUAAUAAUGUAAAGCUUCUGUGAUGAGCUGGAACACUUUGAACAUUCUACAGACCCAACAGAAUGAACUACAGGAUCCUCCUGAACAAGCUAGGAUUUGACAAUAGCUUUUUACUACCCCUCUCCGUGUGCAGUAUCUGUAGCCUCUCACAUCUCUGCCCUACCCUAACUGUUGCGGACGCUGCCUAGACAGCCACAAGGCCUUCAUGGUGAAAUAUGACAUUCAUGAAGACCUGGACCUCGUCUACCAUUACGACAACGCAGAGGUCACUCAAUGUGUCUCUGGGGAAAAAGUUCACUGAAGGGAACCUCUACUUUGGUGACAUGAAACAGGUGCCUCUGAGUGAGAGUGUCUACAGAGGUAGAGCAGGGAAUGACAGAGGGUCUCCUAUACAGAGGACAACACAUGCACGGUGCCCUGCCCAUCUCCUCUGGCCAGUGCUGGAACCUCAUUGUCUGGAUGAGGGCCUCACAGGAGUGGAAAAAAACUGUGCCCCAUGUGCAAAAAGAAGCCUACCUUGGUCGAGGGACAGGGCUUCACAGAUGGCUUCACCAGUGACUCAGGGAUGUCUCUUCUACAGGAUGUAUCAUGCGUUCCGUGUUAACUUAAUGCUGCUGGUCCAUAUGUAUUUGUGUAUGUUAGUAUGAUUUGUGUCUGGAUGUCUGCUUAUCGUGGACAUUAUCGCAUGUGCCAAAAAAGAGUUAUAGAGAGGAAAUGUGGUAGACAUUAGGAACAUUAUUUCUACAUAACAAUGCACAACAUAUUUUAUUACGCAGUGUCACAUUUAUUUCAAUCUUUUCUAAAUAAUUAUGUCCAUAAAAAAUAUGUGUAGCCCGU